AUGCCGGAAUGAGUAGCGCGAAUGCAGUGAGAAUCUGCAUGGCCGAAAGCCUCAGGUUUCUGGAGGAAGGUUCGUCCGCUCCAGGUUAGUCGGGAGCUAAGGUGAGGCCGGAAGGCGUAGCCGAUGCACAGACGGUAGAGAUUCCGUCACCACCAAAAGAGUUAAGCACAGGGACACAUAUGAAGUCUCAGAGCCGGGUGUUGGUUCCGGUAGAGAUCGAGGGAAAUUAGUACCGAAGUCUGAGAUGGAAGAUGGCGAGAAAAGCUGUGUGUAUUUCUGAGGUGCCCGUACCGCAAACCGACACAGGUAGGUAGGAAGAAGAUUCUAAGGCCAACGGGAGAAGGGUUGUUAAGGAACUCGGCAAAUUGACCCCGUAACUUCGGGAGAAGGGGUGCUCAGAGAUGGAGCCGCAGAGAAUCGGCCCAAGCAACUGUUUACCAAAAACACAGGUUUGUGCUAAAUCGAAAGAUGACGUAUACGAGCUGACGCCUGCCCGGUGCUGGAAGGUUAAGAGGAGAUGUGCAAGCAUUGAAUCGAAGCCCCAGUGAACGGCGGCCGUAACAAUAACGGUCCUAAGGUAGCGAAAUUCCUUGUCAGGUAAGUUCUGACCCGCAUGAAAGGCGUAAUGAUUUGGGCACUGUCUCAACAGCCCGCCCGGCGAAAUUGUAGUACCGGUGAAGAUGCCGGUUACCCGCGACAAGACGGAAAGACCCCAUGGAGCUUUACUGUAGCCUAAUAUUGGGUUUCGAUGUUGCAUGCACAGGAUAGAUGGGACUCUAGGAAACCAAGGCUUUGGCUUUGGCGGAGAGGCCGUUGGGAUACCAUCCUUGCGAUAUUGGAAUUCUAACCUGCGGCUCUGAAUCGAGUCGGGGGACAUUGUUAGGUGGGCAGUUUGACUGGGGCGGUCGCCUCCUAAAGAGUAACGGAGGCGUUCAAAGGUUCGCUCAGCUUGAACGGAAAUCAAGCAAAAGAGUGCAAACGCAGAAGCGAGCCUAACUGCGAGACUGACGGGUCGAGCAGUAACGAAAGUUGGAGUUAGUGAUCCGGUGGUAUGUGAGUGGAAAUGCCAUCGCUCAACGGAUAAAAGUUACCCUGGGGAUAACAGGCUGAUCUCCCCCAAGAGUCCACAUCGACGGGGAGGUUUGGCACCUCGAUGUCGGCUCAUCGCAUCCUGGGGCUGUAUUCGGUCCCAAGGGUUUGGCUGUUCGCCAAUUAAAGCGGUACGCGAGCUGGGUUCAGAACGUCGUGAGACAGUUCGGUCCCUAUCUGUCGUGGGCGCAGGAUAUUUGAUGGGAGCUGUCCCUAGUACGAGAGGACCGGGACGGACGUACCUCUGGCGCACCAGUUGUUCCGCCAGGAGCAUAGCUGGGCAACUACGUACGGAUCGGAUAAACGCUGAAAGCAUCUAAGCGUGAAGCCGACCCAAAGAUAAGAUAUCCCACUGAUUCAAUCAGGUAAGAUCCCUUGUAGACUACGAGGUUGAUAGGCACGAUGUGUAAGUGGAGUGAUCCAUUCAGCAAGUGUGUACUAAUAGAUCGAGGGCUUGACC
This 1549-nucleotide ribosomal RNA is filed under the name metagenome. RNAcentral's name for it is "bacterial LSU rRNA". It matches the Rfam family "Bacterial large subunit ribosomal RNA", at positions 1294 to 2925 of the family's 2925-position model. The record is from RNAcentral.